CCUGAGGUUAAACAAAUGUGGCUUGCUUUUGGUUUAAUCUAAAGGCAAAUAAAAACAGAGUCGUUAGUUGGUUCUUUUUUUUUUUUUCUUUUUAAAUAACUUUAAACAAAAAAAUAUUUCAAGUUAUAUUAUGAUUGUUUUGGCCCUGACUUUACUUUUGAACAGUUAGUAAAAGUGGCUGCUUCUGUUACAGAAGCUACUACUGACAGCAGGUCAUAAGCAGGUGACAGUUUUAGCAAGCCUCAUGUGUCCACAAGAUGCAGGACAGACGUUCAUUCCCUGUCCCUCCUACAAGCAUGUCUUGGCAGUGAAAGAUGACUUUUCCAGGAAUCCUGAGCUGCCUUAACCUUGCAGGAUGAGGCUGCACAAUGUGUUGGCUUCAGCGGUAGGCCUCGGUAGAAACUGUUCCGUCCUCUACUCUCCUCUCUGGCUGACCAGGAAUGCCCUGCAUUAAAUCAUCCCAGGUCCCCUGGUUUGGGAGGAGGAGGGGGAAGAAGAGAGCAAGGCUGAAGCUGCAGUCAGGAGGGGAACUAGCCACCACGGUGGGCCUGGGGUGAGCGUUUGCAAAGCUGACUGCUCUGCUGACAGCAUGUGUGGCUUCCCAUUGCUGAGGACAAAGGGGUGCCUGGUCUUGCAGUAUGCUUACCAAGGUCUCUGCGGGCAGCGAUGAUCUCUGCAGCCUGUCCUUCAUUCUUUUUUUUUUUUUUUUUUUUUCCUGUUGGUUGUGUAUUUUACAGGGGCAUUUUGAGAAAAGUCAACAAAAGCGCUCCAGUAUUUGUGUACCGUGAGGUGCUGAAGGCCAUGUCUGCAGCGCCCUUCCGCACAGGUUUGUCUCCAUGUACCAGCCUCAGUCCCUGAGUCUGGUGCUCUUUUCCACUGCGGAACCGAGCAAAGAGCAAGCAGAGGCUCUUGUAGGUAGAAGUGUGAGGAAUCUGAGGAGUAGUGAGCUAACUGCAGAAAAAAUGCAUUUGGCAGAUGUAUCCUUUCUGUUUACAAAUACCAUGCAAACAUUCUUUGAUAUAUAUAUAUUUUUUUCUAACCAACUUUUCAUCUUGUUCAGUGAACGGUUAAAGGGAGCAUAGCUGAGUCUGGAGUGUUCUUGCACAUGAUUUGAAUAUUUGCUAUUUGCUUUAGCUCCAUUGGUUGCGCACACUGUGCUGUAUUUUUGUUGUUGUUGUUGUUAUAUAUUUUUCAUUUUUUGGUGCCUGCCUUGGGAAUUCCCAAACCACAAGAAGCUUUUACAUUAGCUCUGCAAAUGCUCUCAAUGCAAAUACUUGUGCCAGUCUUUUAGCAUAUCUUCAUUAAUGGAUAUAUGUUUGCACAAGAACCUGCAGUUUUAUCCGUGUUUGCGGAACCUUCUUGAAGAUGGAACUAAAUUGCUGUGAAUGUUUGCAGUAAGCUCAUUAAAAGGAACCUUGAACACCAAGAAUUUGCAGGGUUAUUUUUGGACAAAUACCUGUAAAUCCUUCUCCUUUCCGCUUGUUGUACUGUUUUCUUCAAUAAGCAUGUAGCUGGGAAAGGCAGUAGCUAUAUGCUUGAAAAAAAUAAGAGAUUCAUCACCUAUCACUGGAAAAUAUGUGUUAGUCUGAUUAAGUUAAUAAUUGCAACUGUCUAUGAGAGCCGUUUGGUCGGGUUGUAGGGCUGGUAGCACUAUCCUUGUAACUGCUCCAUGCUCCUGAAUAAGGGGGCAAGAACUGAGACGGUUCACCCAGGAAGGCUCCUGUUCUUAUCAUGGAUUUUCUGAAAUGAGAGAGCUCCAAGUUCCUACAUGCAGCCCUGUUUGUUCAUAAAGCCCUCCUGCAGGGAUGUCUAUUACAACACCCCUUUUGUCUCUAUCAAGAUAGGAAAAUUCAGUGUAAUUAGUGAAGCCUGUUUGCAUAUAAAAUAUGAUAGUCCCUUAAAAUUUGUCUCUUCACACAUAUGACACUUAUUCUGUCUCUGCUUGAAUUGUUUGCUUUGACUAACUCUCGUUUACCUGUAGAAAAAUCUUUUUCUAGUUAAGGAGGGCUAUAUGUUAUUUUUUCAUGCCUUGGUAUUACAGAAAUUCUUGGGUAGUCUUUGAAGGUGGUUUCAUGUUGGAGCAAGCGUAAUCCCUCUUUGCAAGAGAGGUAGACAGCUUUAACUCCUUUCUUUUAGAGGUGUAGACUUUUCAGAGGAUAUAUGCAUAUCUAUCAGCCAGUUGCUUUUCAGCUUUUUUCUUUGUUGCUGUUCAAGUCUCAGCAGAGAGGAUGUUAUGUUGUCUGCUGUGUCUGUGGUUUUGCCCCGUGUUUGUAGAGUGUAUAUAUUUACUAUUUUGGUGAACUGUAUGCCCAUCCACUAUUAUGCUACACAAAUGGGCUUUAUCUGUUCAACCCAUGUUGCUUGAUUCCGAAUGCAUGAUUUGUCCUGAGGAAAUAAUUUAAUUCUGGCAGUGCCUCCUGGUUGUAGUUCUGACAGGCCUUAUCAGAUAGCGUAGACUUUGAACUUUGCAUGUCUCUUCCUUUUUGUCUGUUACUUCUACUAGCACAGGUAGAAGUCCCGUUGAACUCCAAUGUGUGGCCUUGUAUGUAUGUAUAUAGCUUCUGUAAUAUACUCUGAAAGGAGUUUUGGGGUUGCUAUCAAUAACUCUUACAAUAUGUUCUCUUGUGGUUUAUGGUCAUUUUCUACUCAAAUGGUUUCACUUCCUUAUCUACUCAAGGCAGAUAAACAGAUCUGCCGUUAGAUUAAUUGAAACAGCAAUAUAGAGAUGCUGCGGUUCUGAGGAUGGCUCCGUGAAGAUGCUAUUGGUUUUCCAGACCAGGCUCAGGAUAUACAUGCACAGCUGCCUCUCUCACAUGGUCCUGUGCAUGCAUGCAGGAAGUUAAAUAGUAUUUCACAGCAAGAUAAUGGCCUUUGCACAUAGAACCACCAACUUACCCAUGGCGGAGAAGGCAUUCUGUAUUACCACCAGAAGGACCUAUUAAUAUUUUUUUCCAGUGGGUUAUGUCUUUUUGUCUUCCAUCUCUUUCUGUUGCUCCAAUAUGGGUUGGUACAGUAAGAGAUUAUACAGAGAGCCUUGUCAAAGCAGAUUUUUUUUGGGGAAAAAAGCAUUUAGCAGUCCCAGCAUUAGAAUUAUUUCUUCAUCAGACCGCCUCUGAAGUGUACCAGGUUAGGUAGUUUGGUGCUUGGAGAACUGCUAAGGUAGCUUUCUGUAGCCUACACGACCACUUGGACCAAUGCUGCAAGUACUGAAUAAUGCUCUGAGUACACUGCGACCUACAUCGAUUGUGGCAGACAGUAUCAUUACUGGAAGGUUUGUUAGCAUGUGCAAGAAAACGAAAAAGGAAAUGUUAAUGUACAUACAAAACAGUGCUCUAACUCCGGAAUAACAGCAUGAAACGGUUGUAAACCUCAGUCCAACACCAGCCCAGGGCAGCUGCAUGCAAGCAGGAAACUGUAUGCCAUGUAGAUGCUGUCUCUGCCCACUAUGCUGUUAUGCUGGCCUAACAUAAACAUAGUGGCUACCAGAGAUGGAAGCACCCAAGGCAAUUAUAAAAUUAAGCCCUAUGGAUGUUCGUAAUGGAAAUGCUGCCUCUGAACUGGGCAACUUUGUACUUUCUGUAAAAAGCUGCUGAAGAGUGUUGAUGGGGGACUAUCUGCCCCUCCCUCAGCCCGGCGCUUCCCUUGGAAGAGGGCAGGUCCUGGAGCAGCAGCCCGGGGAGCCUGUCCGUACGCUCAGCUGCGGCAGUCGGGAUGGCCCUGCUGCCCUCGGUACUGCUGCAGGGGCCUGUGGGCUCCUCUGUUGGUGAGCCUAGCUGCAGAUCUGCCUGGUCACAGAAAAGGAGUGAAGCCAUGUGAGCAUAAAAUAGCCAUCAGCCAGAAGAGAAGGUAUUGUGGAAACUUCUGAUAGUAAACCCUAAAGUGUUUCAAAUAAAAUCUACAGUACUGAAAAAGGGGCUGAUGUGUGCAUGUCUGACACCUUCUGUAAAAAAGAGCUUGCAGCAAGAAAUUGUGCAACUGAACAAGAAGAUGAGAUCCUCCACAUGAUAGAGAGGAUAAAUCAAGCCAGAUACGGCCACUGUGUGGGCAGGGGUUGGAAGGAGCUGGGGAGCCGAGCUGCUCAGCACGCAUGGAUGUGUGAGAAGGGACGGAUGCAGGGGGGGAGUUGUGCUUUUUGCUCAACGUUAUUGAAUGAGCAAAAAGUCCACGAUAACAUCAUCUGAAGGCAGAUGGAUCAGUUUACUGAGAGCAGAAAGUUUUUUAAAAGAUACAGUGAUGCAAUGGAUUAAAAUGCUAGCAGUAUCAUAUUCUUGUCAUAAGAACCCAGGUUAACCAAUACCUGAUGAGCAGCUGUAAAACAUCACAAAAUGAAGCCAAGAGAAGAAGAUUAAGAAAUAUACAACAUUUCUAAAAGGUCUUGGAGACCUCUUCACCUGAAGCCAUACUAAAUACCUCAUUGUUGUAAAUUACUGUUUGGAUUUUGAGAAUUCAAUUGAAUUGUUAGAUAUUUUUAUUGUGAUAGUUGUGGACAGAGCAAUGAUGCUUCCAGGUAAUGUGGUGUCCAUAGACUCAUCUUUCCAGGCUAUGUGUGGGUUGUUCCUUAUGAACAUCUCUUAUUUAGUCUUUCGCUCUUAAAAGAGUAGCUUUUUAAGGCCCAGGUUAGUUUUACAUCUCUCAGGACAGUUUGUACUGGCUUCCAGAAGACGAAGUGCAGGCCAGAAACUGUUCCAUAGAAUUUUGCUGAUUUCACUUAGGAGGGAUAAAAGAGACUUGAAAAAUGUGAUGUGGAUCCACUGGUGAAAGAGGGACAGGCCUUUGAGAGGAGAUUUUCAAGAAUUAUGGGUUUCAUAGAGGCAUUUAUUUAGCAAGCAACCAAACACCAUGGAAGUUUCAUCCUCCAAACCGACAUGUGUAGGAUUUCUAUUUGUACAUGUUACUAGUCAUUUGGAGUACCACAACCAGCCCACAUAUUUCACUGUUCCCAGGAAUAAAUACUUGCAGAAUUGAGAUUUCUUUUUGUACUGCUUUGCUCCCGUGGAGAAGAGGAAUUUUCCUUCGCUUGCUCACGUAACAGCCAGCAAAGCCACAGGGCUAGACCUUGCUUGUUGUGGUGUUUAGUCACCUUUGCACUUUAUCUUACCUGCAAAUCUCAGGCUGGGAAUCAAAUUGCAGCCCUCCUCAGCAGGGUAAGUCACUGUGAUCCACCUUCUAUUGUUAAGGAGUCAUUGCUAAACCAAAGGCAGGAGGAAAAUUACCUGUCCUGGGGUGAAAGGCAGAGAGGCAGCGCUGUCCUUCCGUCCUGGGAACGUGAUGGUGAUGAGGCAGGAGAACCACGGAUUUUAGGUUUGGGAGCCAAACUUGCCCUUUUUUGCUUUCACAGCAAAAUUUCUCUGUGCGUCUGAUGUAUGGUCUGAAACCAUUACGACUUCUGUGCUUUCCCUUGAGUUAAUAUUUAAUUUCUUCUUAAACAUUAACCUUGGCUAGAGCUACUUUUGAAAAAGAGGACUGCUGUGCUAAUAACACUAAUCAUUUCCUUUUGAAAAGCUUGGGAACAAUGUGGAGCACUGUAUGUGUCUGAAAAGUAAACUCUCUUUUAAUGACAUAUGUUACUGUUUCGCAAUACUUUUUUUUUUUUUUUUUUUGCUAUUUCUUCUGAUGUUUACAAACUGUUCCUGCCCAAACUGCAAUCCAUGAAGACUCUGUGGUGAACCCACCUCUUGAGCCUACUCCUUUGUUGUGAAGCAAAGCAGUAAAGCAAAGAUCAAUGUCCUUUUACUCUCACCAGUUCAUGUGGUAUUAAGUCAAGUGCAAGUCAAAUAUAAAUAUAUUUGUAGCUAUAACUACCAGACAAACGGCACUUGUCACAAACAUUUCUCAACCACAGACAUCAGGAAGAGAAUCUGUUAUGUAUUUAUUUAUCUUAAAUUGUUAUCAGGCACCAAAGACUGCAUAGUCAGCUGAACACUAACCAUUUCUCAAGGGGUGCAUACGUGGGUAUGGGACCCCAGAGGUGAGAACCCAGCUGGAUUGAUGCCCCGCAUGGCGAAUGCUUAUUCAGCACCUAUAGCAGAGGCUAGGAGAAGAAGAGCUGCUUGCAGAUGCUCACGUGGGUGCAGCUCUGCUGGUGGAUGCAGGUUUCUGGAGGACAUUUGGGCUGGGUUCUGCCAGCAGGGCAUGGGGACCCCAGUGGGGCGGUGUGAUGCAGCCAGCAGUGCAGACCCCCCUGCUGGAAAAGCCUUUCCCUUUAUCCCCCGCUCCGCACUGAGCUAUCCCACCUGUCCAAGGCAUGACGUUACAUCAGUUUUUCUCUCCCGUUUUCAUGAGUGCAGCUCCUCCAUCAGCAGCAUUUCAGGUUAGAAACAUAAGCUGGAGUCACCUGUUCUUGCUGGGUCCUAUUGAGGGAUGUUGAGACUCCACCAGGGCCUUCCAUGAGAAGCUGUUAAACCCAUGUGUUCUGGGUUAUUUCUUCUUGUCGGGAGCCUCUUCAGUGCUGCAGUCCGAGAGGCCUCACAGCUACCCAUGGAUGUCCCCGAGAGAGGAUCCUCUUCCCAAGAAAGCAUCCUGGGGCUCUCAGUGGGUGGAGUGUCUUGUAGCUGAGCUGCCUGCUGGAGAGAGUGAAAAGAAUUUAGGCAAAAGAAUGAAAAAAAAAGGCUGGAUUGCUUAAUCAUGAAGCAGUGCCAGGCUGAUGUAGGAUGCUGCUGUCUGUUAUAUCUCCAGGCAGCAUCAGGCUGAGGGUGAGGUUCUCUUGUAAUUUGGUGUCCUUCACUAAUGCACUCAGGAGGACGUGUAUAAAUAGAGCAAGUGCAUUAUAUGCCUAUUCAUUGUUUAUUUCUAAAGAGGCCUAAUUUUUUCCUCAUGUUUAUUUUCUGAGUAAGAAUUACUGUGCUCAGCAGAGUAAUUGUGCGUAAAAGAAAAAAAUACCCUCAAGAACAUGUAAAAGUAAAAAUUGGGAUAUCCUUCCUCUAACUCUUCUGCUGUAGUCAUAAACCCAAAGAUACAUUUAAGUUUUAACUUUUCGUAAUGGCUUGUGUGUUUGGGCAAUGUGUAUAGUAAAUCAAUUAUUCAAAUGAAUAAAUAAAAUGUCAGUGGAUUGGA
This is a long non-coding RNA of Oxyura jamaicensis (ruddy duck), 7053 nucleotides long. RefSeq lists it as uncharacterized. Lineage: Eukaryota; Metazoa; Chordata; Aves; Anseriformes; Anatidae. The transcript is spliced from 6 exons. The record is from RefSeq and is a predicted model, not a curated record.